This 499-nucleotide long non-coding RNA is filed under the name Rattus norvegicus (Norway rat). RNAcentral's name for it is "long non-coding RNA NONRATT031610". Lineage: Eukaryota; Metazoa; Chordata; Mammalia; Rodentia; Muridae. The record is from RNAcentral.
UAAGAACUCAGGAUUUGGGGAGUUGGCAAACAAAUACACUUGACGUGUUUAUGAAGGAAAUUUUUUCUGUUUAGGAAGGAAGGUGGCAACACAGAACAUCUGCUUCCUCUCCAUCAGUCUGCUGUGUGGCCUGCCUCAGUGCCAUUGAGAAGGCCCAAAGUACAGCCUGAAACCCGGUGAAUGUGGCAGUGUCUUUAGCUGUAGGGAGCUGACAGGUUCUGCUGAGCUGACGAGAGCUGCUUUUAUGGGUAUGGGAGGCCAAGCUGGACAAGCACAACACCAUCAUCAACAGAAGGCAACCAGUACUUCUCCCAGCGCUAUGAUGUGGUAUGGUGUGAUGUAGUGCAAAUGUCUCCUGAGGCACCUCCGAUACGCUGGGCUUUGCUCCUCCAAAGCUGAGAGGUAAGUCAACUGAACCACCUGUGCUUAAUGUGGUGUAGGCCAAGUAGUAAAGCAGACAGAAGGUCUGUGCAGCAGCCCCAUCCCUGAUGAACUUCCA